UACGUAGGGGCGAGCGUUGUCCGGAAUUACUGGGCGUAAAGAGCACGUAGGCGGGAACCUAAGUCAGGUGUGAAAGACCGUGGCUCAACCACGGGGUGGCAUUUGGAACUGGGUUUCUUGAGGGCAGGAGAGGAAAGCAGAAUUCCUGGUGUAGCGGUGAAAUGCGUAGAAAUCAGGAGGAAUACCAGUGGCGAAGGCGGCUUUCUGGACUGACCCUGACGCUGAGGUGCGAAAGCGUGGGUAGCAAACAGGAUUAGAUACCCCGGUAGUCCCUGAGCGGG
RNAcentral lists this ribosomal RNA (281 nucleotides) under uncultured prokaryote. RNAcentral describes it as "partial 16S ribosomal RNA". It matches the Rfam family "Bacterial small subunit ribosomal RNA", at positions 524 to 803 of the family's 1533-position model. The record is from RNAcentral.